GUCGGGAUUCGCUUACUAAUAAUAAUAAUAAAAAGAUCUUGGAAGGACCGAAGAAGAAAACACGCUGUGGAAAGGACUGGCUUCCUUGGAGGGACCUGGGAACAUGUACAAUAGUUAAAAAGCAAAUGAUUUUUAGUUUGUGGCUCAGAAUGGCUUUAAAGUCACUAUGUAGCCCCUCCAAUUCGUGGCAAUCCUCCAGCCUCAGGCUCCCAAGUGCUGGGAUUGUAGGUGUGGACCACCUUGCCCGGACAAUCUAGAACAAAAGAAAAAAUGUUUGCCAUCCCAAGUCCUUUUGCAUCCAAGAUGUUUAUCUAAAAGUGAAAGUAGGGGAGAGAAAGGGAAGGGUAGAGUAAUGCUUUUCCAGUCCCAAGAGACUGUAGCUAGGAGCUGAAGGAGUCCCCAGGGGCAAACCUCCCUUUCAUUGCAUAUAAAAUUCUAUGCCAGAAUAGUAAUGCUGAGCAUCUUUAGUGAUGACCCAGGAAGAGAGCAAUUUUAAACCGUUUACAUAGAUUGAGAUUUAAGAGAAAUUCCAUACACCAGGAUAUAUUGUCUUUGUAUUUACUUUAAG
Molecule: long non-coding RNA, 568 nt
Filed under: Heterocephalus glaber (naked mole-rat)
Lineage: Eukaryota; Metazoa; Chordata; Mammalia; Rodentia; Bathyergidae
Description: lncRNA (ENSHGLG00000041844.1)
Source: RNAcentral